Molecule: ribosomal RNA, 492 nt
Filed under: uncultured bacterium
Lineage: Bacteria
Description: partial 16S ribosomal RNA
Rfam family: Bacterial small subunit ribosomal RNA
Source: RNAcentral
AUUGAACGCUGGCGGCAUGCUUUACACAUGCAAGUCGAACGGUAACAGGCCUUCGGGUGCUGACGAGUGGCGAACGGGUGAGUAAUGCAUCGGAACGUGCCCAGAGGUGGGGGAUAACGCAGCGAAAGCUGUGCUAAUACCGCAUGUGAUCUGAGGAUGAAAGCGGGGGACCAGGCAGCAAUGUUUGGCCUCGCGCCUUUGGAGCGGCCGAUGUCAGAUUAGGUAGUUGGUGGGGUAAAGGCCUACCAAGCCGACGAUCUGUAGCUGGUCUGAGAGGACGACCAGACACACUGGGACUGAGACACGGCCCAGACUCCUACGGGAGGCAGCAGUGGGGAAUUUUGGACAAUGGGCGCAAGCCUGAUCCAGCAAUGCCGCGUGCGGGAAGAAGGCCUUCGGGUUGUAAACCGCUUUUGUACGGAACGAAAAGGCUCUGGCUAAUACCUGGGGCUGAUGACGGUACCGUAAGAAUAAGCACCGGCUAACUACGUG